AAGACUAUAGACCUGCGGAGUACCUGCGGAGGGAUCAUUAGUGAACGCCCUCACGGGCUUAUAACUAUUCCAAACCUUUGUGAACCGUGCCCUUCGGGGCUAUUUUACAAACAUGGUGUAAUGAACGUCAUAUAUCAUAACAAAACAAAACUUUUAACAACGGAUCUCU
RNAcentral lists this unclassified non-coding RNA (169 nucleotides) under soil metagenome. Its description in RNAcentral is "partial contains 5.8S ribosomal RNA, internal transcribed spacer 2, and large subunit ribosomal RNA". The record is from RNAcentral.